AAAUGAGAGUAUAUGUAAAGGAGUUAAUUUUUUUUAAGAUUUUAUUUAUUCAUGAGAGACACACACAGAGUGAGGCAGAGACACAGGCAGAGGCAGAAGCAGGCUCCAUGCAGGGAGCCCGAUGUGGGACUCGAUCCUGGGACUCCAGGAUCAUGCCCUGGGCUGAAGGCAGAUUCUGAACCACUGAGCCACCCAGGUGCCCCUGAGGAGGGAGUUACUUUUUAAAAUGAAAACUCAUGAUGAUGACGACAGUGAGGUCAGAAUUGCUUCUCCUCAGUUAAAAGGUGUUCGGUUCUGUACGGACUCCAGGGGCAGCCAGACCUGCAACGAGAGGAAUGUGGAUCUCCGUUCAUUUAACAAACAAAUGACCUAUAGCUGUCUUGAGCGGAGACAGGAUGUGUAUAUUAGGAAAUCAAACAGCAGGAAAAUAUAAGACCGGUAUGGGAUGGGGACAGGCUCUUCCAGAGCACAGAACAGGCCACCGCAUUGUAACACAGCCUCUCAGCCCUGUAACCUCAGUAUCUGGUUCCCACAGAGUGAGGUCGAUGGGCUCACCCAAUCCACCCACAGAUUACAGGUGCCACAGCCCCAGGCCCUGAUCUGACAGAGACACAUGUGGCUGAGUCACAAUGAGGUCAUUCUCCUGGGCCGGAGGCCACAGCUGGUCCUGAAGGUGGACAAGGCCGUGGACAAGGCUGGCCUCAGGCCUCGACCACCAUGGAUGGGAGCCCAGACCAAUCUCUCUCAGGCUCAACAGGUGACUCUUUGCUACUUCUAUGUUAAAACAAACACAACAAAGCAAGUUCCGUCUUCAGAAUGGAGAUGGAAGAAUGACUGGAAGCCGGACCCUGAUCCCAGCAGUAGAAGACGGAAGGCAGGAAGUGUGCCCUUGCAGGAAGAGGGGGCUGGCCCAAGAAUGACUCUCUAG
This 928-nucleotide long non-coding RNA is filed under the name Canis lupus familiaris (dog). RNAcentral describes it as "lncRNA (ENSCAFG00040007405.1)". Lineage: Eukaryota; Metazoa; Chordata; Mammalia; Carnivora; Canidae. The record is from RNAcentral.